GGAAUAUUGCGCAAUGGACGAAAGUCUGACGCAGCGACGCCGCGUGUGGGAGGAAGCCCUUCGGGGUGUAAACCACUGUCAGGGGGGAAGAACUCCGAUCCUGCGAAUAGUUGGGUCGGGUGACGGUACCCCCAGAGGAAGCGCCGGCUAACUCCGUGCCAGCAGCCGCGGUAAGACGGAGGGCGCGAGCGUUGUUCGGAAUUACUGGGCGUAAAGCGCGGGCAGGCGGUCUGUUAAGUCUCCUGUGAAACUCCGGGGCUCAACUCCGGACAUGCAGAAGAUACUGGCGGACUGGAGACCGGUAGAGGCAAGCGGAAUUCCUGGUGUAGCGGUGGAAUGCGUAGAUAUCAGGAAGAACACCCGUGGCGAAGGCGGCUUGCUGGGCCGGUUCUGACGCUCAUCCGCGAAAGCGUGGGGAGCAAAC
RNAcentral lists this ribosomal RNA (424 nucleotides) under uncultured bacterium. RNAcentral describes it as "bacterial SSU rRNA". It matches the Rfam family "Bacterial small subunit ribosomal RNA", at positions 358 to 773 of the family's 1533-position model. The record is from RNAcentral.